AUGGAAAGUACUUUGAAAAGAGGGUGAAAAGCACCUGAAACCGUCACGGGGGAAGCGGAUUGCGUGAGUGAGGUGUGGUGUCUGUUCAGCUGCGGAAAUUGUUUUGUAGUGUAUUCAGCACUAGCCGUGCCAGAGUGGCUGCUCUGAUUUCAGAUGGUGUGAAAUUGGGUGGUGAGGGCUCCCAUGUUGAAUGGUGAGGACUUUGGCGAAAUGACGCGACCCGACCCGUCUUGAAACACGGACCAAGGAGUCUAGCACGACUGCGAGUCGAAGGGUGUUGAAAACCCAUUGGGCGAAGUGAAAGCGAAACAUUUGGAAAUCGGAUACAGAUUGGGGAGGUGUGGCGUCGUUGACAAUAUAUCCUACCCUGAGCAGUUGUGCUGGGACCCGAAAGAUGGUGAACUAUGCCGGAAUAGGGCAAAGCCAGAGGAAACUCUGGUGGAGGCUCGUAGCGAUGCUGACGUGCAAAUCGCUCGUCGAAUUUGGGUAUAGGGGCGAAAGACUAAUCGAACCAUCUAGUAGCUGGUCCCUCCGAAGUUUCUCUCA
RNAcentral lists this ribosomal RNA (546 nucleotides) under Mastophoropsis canaliculata. RNAcentral describes it as "eukaryotic LSU rRNA". It matches the Rfam family "Eukaryotic large subunit ribosomal RNA", at positions 364 to 975 of the family's 3401-position model. Lineage: Eukaryota; Rhodophyta; Florideophyceae; Hapalidiales; Hapalidiaceae. The record is from RNAcentral.